GCCGGGUGCGGUGGCGCGCGCCUGUAAUCCAAGCUACCGGGAGGCUGAGGCUGGCGGAUCGUUUGAGCUCAGGAGCUCUGAGCUGCAGCGGACUAUGCCGAUCGGGUGUCCGCACUAAGUUCGGUAUCGAUAUGGUGCUCCUGGGGGAGCUCGGGACCACCAGGUCGCCUAAGGAGGGGUGCACCGGCCCAGGUCGGAAACGGAGCAGGUCAAAGCCCCCGUGCCGCUCAGUAGUGGGAUCGCGCCUGUGAAUAGACGCUGUAGUGCAGCCUGAGUAAUACAGCGGGACCCAGUCUUUU
Molecule: unclassified non-coding RNA, 299 nt
Organism: Astatotilapia calliptera (eastern happy)
Lineage: Eukaryota; Metazoa; Chordata; Actinopteri; Cichliformes; Cichlidae
Rfam family: Metazoan signal recognition particle RNA
About the family: The signal recognition particle (SRP) is a universally conserved ribonucleoprotein. It is involved in the co-translational targeting of proteins to membranes.
Source: Ensembl